GAUGAACGCUGGCGGCGUGCCUAAUACAUGCAAGUCGAGCGAACGGACGAGAAGCUUGCUUCUCUGAUGUUAGCGGCGGACGGGUGAGUAACACGUGGAUAACCUACCUAUAAGACUGGGAUAACUUCGGGAAACCGGAGCUAAUACCGGAUAAUAUUUUGAACCGCAUGGUUCAAAAGUGAAAGACGGUCUUGCUGUCACUUAUAGAUGGAUCCGCGCUGCAUUAGCUAGUUGGUAAGGUAACGGCUUACCAAGGCAACGAUGCAUAGCCGACCUGAGAGGGUGAUCGGCCACACUGGAACUGAGACACGGUCCAGACUCCUACGGGAGGCAGCAGUAGGGAAUCUUCCGCAAUGGGCGAAAGCCUGACGGAGCAACGCCGCGUGAGUGAUGAAGGUCUUCGGAUCGUAAAACUCUGUUAUUAGGGAAGAACAUAUGUGUAAGUAACUGUGCACAUCUUGACGGUACCUAAUCAGAAAGCCACGGCUAACUACGUGCCAGCAGCCGCGGUAAUACGUAGGUGGCAAGCGUUAUCCGGAAUUAUUGGGCGUAAAGCGCGCGUAGGCGGUUUUUUAAGUCUGAUGUGAAAGCCCACGGCUCAACCGUGGAGGGUCAUUGGAAACUGGAAAACUUGAGUGCAGAAGAGGAAAGUGGAAUUCCAUGUGUAGCGGUGAAAUGCGCAGAGAUAUGGAGGAACACCAGUGGCGAAGGCGACUUUCUGGUCUGUAACUGACGCUGAUGUGCGAAAGCGUGGGGAUCAAACAGGAUUAGAUACCCUGGUAGUCCACGCCGUAAACGAUGAGUGCUAAGUGUUAGGGGGUUUCCGCCCCUUAGUGCUGCAGCUAACGCAUUAAGCACUCCGCCUGGGGAGUACGACCGCAAGGUUGAAACUCAAAGGAAUUGACGGGGACCCGCACAAGCGGUGGAGCAUGUGGUUUAAUUCGAAGCAACGCGAAGAACCUUACCAAAUCUUGACAUCCUUUGACAACUCUAGAGAUAGAGCCUUCCCCUUCGGGGGACAAAGUGACAGGUGGUGCAUGGUUGUCGUCAGCUCGUGUCGUGAGAUGUUGGGUUAAGUCCCGCAACGAGCGCAACCCUUAAGCUUAGUUGCCAUCAUUAAGUUGGGCACUCUAAGUUGACUGCCGGUGACAAACCGGAGGAAGGUGGGGAUAACGUCAAAUCAUCAUGCCCCUUAUGAUUUGGGCUACACACGUGCUACAAUGGACAAUACAAAGGGCAGCGAAACCGCGAGGUCAAGCAAAUCCCAUAAAGUUGUUCUCAGUUCGGAUUGUAGUCUGCAACUCGACUACAUGAAGCUGGAAUCGCUAGUAAUCGUAGAUCAGCAUGCUACGGUGAAUACGUUCCCGGGUCU
RNAcentral lists this ribosomal RNA (1372 nucleotides) under uncultured bacterium. RNAcentral describes it as "bacterial SSU rRNA". It matches the Rfam family "Bacterial small subunit ribosomal RNA", at positions 28 to 1381 of the family's 1533-position model. The record is from RNAcentral.